GGCUAACGCUGGCGGCGUGUCUUAGCCAUGCAAGUCGAGCGGACUUAUGGGGUAACUUAUAAGUCAGCGGCGGACGGCGGAGUAACACGUAGCUAACCUACCCUCUGGACGGGGAUAACCUACCGAAAGGUGGGCUAAUACCCGAUGUAGUCAUCCUGUAUAGGGGUGAUGAAAGGUGGGCUUCUGUUUACAAGCUCAUGCUGGAGGAGGGGGCUGCGGCCUAUCAGGUAGUUGGUAGGGUAAUAGCCUACCAAGCCGAUGACGGGUAGCCGGCCUGAGAGGGUGACCGGCCCGAGGGGCACUGAGAUACGGGUCCCACUCCUACGGGAGGCAGCAGGCUAGAAAUUUGGGCAAUGGGGGAAACCCUGACCCAGUGACGCCGCGUGCAGGAAGGAGCCCUUCGGGGUGUAAACUGCUGUCGUGUAGGGAGAAGGGUACUAAGGUGGAACAAUCUUAGUACUUGACGGUACUACAGGAGGAAGCCCAGGCUAACCUCGUG
This 499-nucleotide ribosomal RNA is filed under the name uncultured bacterium. RNAcentral describes it as "bacterial SSU rRNA". It matches the Rfam family "Bacterial small subunit ribosomal RNA", at positions 28 to 507 of the family's 1533-position model. The record is from RNAcentral.